UACGUAGGGGGCGAGCGUUGUCCGGAUUUAUUGGGCGUAAAGAGCGUGUAGGCGGCCAGACAGGUCCGUUGUGAAAACUCGAGGCUCAACCUCGAGACGCCGAUGGAAACCGUCUGGCUAGAGUCCGGAAGAGGAGACUGGAAUUCCUGGUGUAGCGGUGGAAUGCGCAGAUAUCAGGAGGAACACCGGUGGCGAAGGCGGGUCUCUGGGCAGUAACUGACGCUGAGGAGCGAAAGCGUGGGGAGCGAACAGG
Molecule: ribosomal RNA, 253 nt
Filed under: uncultured bacterium
Lineage: Bacteria
Description: partial 16S ribosomal RNA
Rfam family: Bacterial small subunit ribosomal RNA
Source: RNAcentral